This 584-nucleotide long non-coding RNA is filed under the name Salmo salar (Atlantic salmon). Its description in RNAcentral is "lncRNA (ENSSSAG00000083712.1, ENSSSAG00020078328.1, ENSSSAG00075034130.1)". Lineage: Eukaryota; Metazoa; Chordata; Actinopteri; Salmoniformes; Salmonidae. The record is from RNAcentral.
AGGUCGACCUCUUGUCUUCCAUUUUCCGUAAACAAGCGCUGUAACAUGGCUAUAGGGCCGUGUGGGAACCAUAACAAGGUCCUCAAGUACUGAAGUACUGAAUAUGGUUGUCAUACCCAUGAAGGUGUUGAAGCAUUGGGGCUUGUUGUCCCAGUAGACACCCAGGAAGUAGACAGGGACUCCAGAUGAUGGCCAGGCCGAUACCACCAGCUCAGAGUACAGCGGGGAAGACGACCAGGAAGGCCCAGAACAGCAGGCAGCCUGUUGCAGACCCCUGCUAUACACAAUCCCGUACGUCAAUGAAUCUAUACAUCUAACACACAAACAUUCAAUUAAUUGUAAUACAAACAAAGUACAGAGUACAAUUGAACAAUGCACAGAGAACACAACAAUUGCUUUGAACAUGAUGGCAUCGUGCAUGUGUCAGCGUGUAACUUGUCAUAAAACAAUAGUAGACCCAUUACUCAAUACUGUCCUGACUGCUGUCAAGCAUUCCUAUCAAAAUCAUGCUCCUCACAAAAUGUACCAGCUGGCAAUAACCUUGUCCAACAGGAUUCAGUGCACAGAUAUGGAGAGUUUAUCUU